Molecule: non-coding RNA, 125 nt
Organism: Triticum urartu
Lineage: Eukaryota; Viridiplantae; Streptophyta; Magnoliopsida; Poales; Poaceae
Source: RefSeq, a predicted model, not a curated record
CCACCCCGCCUCGCCCAGAUCUGCCGAGUGGGUGUCCUGUCUCCGGCGUUCUUGAGCACCAUUGGGUCGAGGAAGGAGAAGCCAUCCUAUGGACUAGAACAGUUUGUGUGAGAUUUUAUUUUCUG